Molecule: non-coding RNA, 32 nt
Filed under: Fictibacillus gelatini DSM 15865
Lineage: Bacteria; Bacillati; Bacillota; Bacilli; Caryophanales; Fictibacillaceae
Description: L31-Firmicutes ribosomal protein leader
Rfam family: L31-Firmicutes ribosomal protein leader
Source: RNAcentral
CUCUGUUUCCACAGGAUUCAGGGCAGAAGGAG